CCUACGGGAGGCAGCAGUGAGGAAUAUUGGUCAAUGGGCGCGAGCCUGAACCAGCCAAGUCGCGUGAGGGAAGACGGUCCUAUGGAGUGUAAACCUCUUUUGUCGGGGAGCAAAAGACGCCCCGCUUGGCGUUCCAAGAGUACCCGAAGAAAAAGCAUCGGCUACCUCCGUGCCAGCGGCCGCGGUAAUACGGGGGAUGUGAGCGUUAUCCGGAUUUAUUGGGUUUAAAGGGUGAUCAGGCGGAAGAUCAAGUCAGCGGUAAAAUUGAGAGGCUCAACCUCUUCGAGCCGUUGAAACUGGUUGUCUUGAGUGAGUGAGAAGUAUGCGGAAUGCGUGGUGUAGCGGUGAAAUGCAUAGAUAUCACGCAGAACUCCGAUUGCGAAGGCAGCAUACCGGCGCUCAACUGACGCUCAUGCACGAAAGUGUGGGUAUCGAACAGGAUUAGAUACCCUAGUAGUC
This 459-nucleotide ribosomal RNA is filed under the name uncultured bacterium. RNAcentral describes it as "partial 16S ribosomal RNA". It matches the Rfam family "Bacterial small subunit ribosomal RNA", at positions 338 to 795 of the family's 1533-position model. The record is from RNAcentral.